GGAGUUAGCCGGUGCUUCUUCUGUGAGUGAUGUCCUUCCUGCCGGUUAUUGACCCGCAGGCCUUCUUCCUCACUGAAAGUGCUUUACAACCCGAAGGCCUUCUUCACACACGCGGCAUGGCUGGAUCAGGGUUGCCCCCAUUGUCCAAUAUUCCCCACUGCUGCCUCCCGUAGGAGUCUGGGCCGUGUCUCAGUCCCAGUGUGGCUGAUCAUCCUCUCAGACCAGCUACGGAUCGUCGCCUUGGUGAGCCGUUACCUCACCAACCAGCUAAUCCGACAUAGGCUCAUCCGAUAGCGCGAGGCCCGAAGGUCCCCCGCUUUCCCCCGUAGGGCGUAUGCGGUAUUAGCCUGGGUUUCCCCAGGUUAUCCCCCACUACCGGGCAGAUUCCUAUGCAUUACUCACCCGUCCGCCGCUCGCCACCAGGGAGCAAGCUCCCCGUGCUGCCGCUCGACUUGCNUGUGUAGCUCGCCGCCGCGCGUCAUCUGAGCANAAUACAACUACUCGA
RNAcentral lists this ribosomal RNA (505 nucleotides) under uncultured bacterium. RNAcentral describes it as "partial 16S ribosomal RNA". The record is from RNAcentral.